CUGUUUCGGCUGCCUACCUGGGGUUGAGAUUUGUGUCUCUUUAAAGAAAAGUUAACGUAACAGUUACGUUCUGGCGAAGAAUACAUGCACAUUUUAUCUACCUUCAGACUUUGAGCAAGUGAGCCAUAUCCGCUCUACAGGAAGCUUGAGAGAAUGAAAUGAAUGGACAUAUAUAAAAUGCUCAGAACAGUAGCUGGCAUAUGCUGAGCACACUGCGGUAUCAGUCAAAUCUGAAAUGAUUGCCUUAAAGUCCCGCUUGGAAUACUCAGCACAUUCCACCUUACUCUGCGGUCUCCAAGACUCCUUUUCCAGGAGUCUCCCAUCUCACAGAUGAGGGGUCUGCACUGCCCGAGGUCACACAGCUCCCAGAGACAAGCCGGUUCUCCACUCACACUGGAUGACAGAAGUGGCAAGAGGUUGUUCAGAAGAUUAAAGAUCCAAGUCACCAGAGGCUGCCAUCUCACAAGACCAUUUAGACAUUUUCUGCUUGGCAGUCAUUAAUAUUCUUCAGCAGAGAACGAGCAGGAAGCCUGUUCAAAAAGUCUACUCAUCAGAUCUCUGUACCUUGGAAGAUAAAGAGUGUGUGAGGGUUUUGUUUGGGGAUUAAAUAUUCAUUGGACUGGGUUAGAGCUCUUACUGUUCCCAGGAAGAAAACUGGAUUUCUACCUUUGUUUUAAAAUAACUACAAGAAUUAUACUUAAGAAUCAAUUUCUGUACUAAAUCAGACAGAGUAAUGUAUGCUGUGGUAUUUCUAAUACAGUAGAUACAACUUGGAACUCAAUACAAAGGACUGUAGGCAUUUUACAGAAGGACACAGUGGCUUGACACUGUAGGAAGAGGCCUCCAAGGAGAGGACAGAGGACAGCCUGGCACUCUGGCUGGCUCUCUGUCAUCAAUGCAGAGCUAUUCUACAACCUGAGGUUCAGUUUCAGGUCUUGUGAGAUGGAAAAAUGCUUAUUUUCAAACUUUGCUAACGACAGGAAGAAAACAAGUGGCCUGAAGAAAGCAGGAGCAGGCAGUGGCGACCACCACUCACACUUUAGCCCAGACACCGAGAACUGGUCACUGAAUGGCUGGGGGAUGUUCCCACCCGUUCCCAUCCCCCUUGCCCACCCUAUCUUUUAGGCAUCAUUGCUCACAUUUCCCUUGAAUUCAAACAUCUUUUAAAGGCUUUGAAAGCUUCGAAGGUUGAUUUCAAUGAAACCUGUUUUUAUUCUCUGCGUUUUUCCAACUGUCACUCUCGGAUAAAACAAAAAACAUUCACUGUCAAAACAACAAGGGUUCGCUCUCAAGCAAAGAACGAAAGCAGGUAUGUCUGCUUGAUUUAUUUUGGCAUAUGCCUCACAGUUAAAUAGGGCACCUUUUAAUUUGUCACUUCUUAAAGAUUCACUUAGGCUGGCAAAGUAAAUCCCCAGGGCUUGGUUUCAGCUCAAUUUGAACUAGUUGGGCAGAAAGGUUUAUCCUCCACCCUUUGCACACCCACCUCUUCUCAGGUGUUAAAGAAGCAAGUGUUCAUUUAACAACUUCAGAUAGGCACAAUUAAUGGCCUCUUGUUUUUACUUUAACCUGGAGAAGUUUAGAAAUCAGAAUUACUCCCGAAGCUCAACUGGAAAUUGGCAGUGAGAAACAGAAGCCAGUGUUUUUUCAACAGUCCUGUGGAAAAGUUAUUAAAACAGCAACUCUCCAGCUAUUUUUAAAAUAGAAAUCAGCUUUAAGCAGAGAGGCUCAGAAUUCAAACUCUCCAGGCUGUCACUUUUCAGCCAUGCAGCAGUAGAUUUCCCUGUGUCUCAGCAUCUUUGCCUAAGGCUUUGGAAAAGGCAUGCACCCAGCCUAGGCUGUUUAGAGUGGUCACGAAGGCAAUAAAACAUCUAGAACCCAGUAGGCCAUACCAGCGGCUCAGAAGUAUCCUCGGGUGUUAUCACCAAAGGAAACUGCUGUAACAUCUUGGAGUUCCUCCAUACAGGCAGGAUUCAGUGUUUCUUCCCAUAUGGGAGCUGUUUCUCUGUCUGCUAGAAUUGAAGCCAUUUCUCUCCUUUUCUCAAAAUUGGUGAUAACAUCUGUUUAGUCCCUUCAGUGUAACAAGGCCAGAUUGAAGGUUUGUGUUUAUACAAUCAUUAACACAACCACUGUUAAACAGAAGUGGGGUAUGGCAUCUCAAUCACCUAAUUGAAAUCUGGUUCAUUAUUGGAUAUGUAAACUGAUUCAGUUACAAAAAGAAACACACACCCCUCCCCCACUCCCUCUCUCUCACUCACACAGACACACACAGAGACUCACCCUUACUCAACCACAUUAACAUGUAGAUGAACUUUUGGGUUCUUCAACAUAAAUUUCCCCCUUUUCCCAGACUCAGCUUUCCUAAAAAUGCACAUGUGUAAAAUAUAUGAAACAAACAAAAUGCUUCCUUUUUUAAGAUCCUUAGAGCAAAUGACUUUCAGCAAGGGUGGGAAAUCCCAUGCAGGCAUCAUUAACCACAGUUUUCUGGUCCACACUGAAGUACUUUCCUACCUUUGGAAGCUCCACAUUACCUGUGGCCCAGACACCACACCUGUGUCUUUCUAGCUGCUUUUCCAAACUAUUUUAGUAUGAAUAAGUCAAAGCAUCCCCCCAGAAGGCCUGACCACAGAGCAACAGUGAAGCUUGCUCUUUGCAGCUCAGAGCUGGGGAAACAGAGGUUGUUUUCUGGUGAGAUGGAAACUGACACCAGAAACCAACUCCUCUUCUAAUCCCUUGCCUGAUGAGCUGCUGGAAACGUGUGGAAUAAAACCAGGCUAAGCCGUUUGUUC
Molecule: long non-coding RNA, 2786 nt
Organism: Meriones unguiculatus (Mongolian gerbil)
Lineage: Eukaryota; Metazoa; Chordata; Mammalia; Rodentia; Muridae
Exons: 5
Source: RefSeq, a predicted model, not a curated record